GGCGAACGCUGGCGGCGUGCUUAACACAUGCAAGUCGAACGGAAAGGCCUUUUCGGAGGUACUCGAGUGGCGAACGGGUGAGUAACACGUGGGUGAUCUGCCCUGCACUCUGGGAUAAGCCUGGGAAACUGGGUCUAAUACCGGAUAGGACCGCACUUUAGUGUGUGUGGUUGAAAGUUUUUUCGGUGUAGGAUGAGCCCGCGGCCUAUCAGCUUGUUGGUGGGGUAAUGGCCUACCAAGGCGGCGACGGGUAGCCGGACUGAGAGGUUGGUCGGCCACAUUGGGACUGAGAUACGGCCCAGACUCCUACGGGAGGCAGCAGUGGGGAAUAUUGCACAAUGGGCGCAAGCCUGAUGCAGCGACGCCGCGUGGGGGAUGACGGCCUUCGGGUUGUAAACUCCUUUCGCCAGGGACGAAGCGUUUUGUGACGGUACCUGGAGAAGAAGCACCGGCUAACUACGUG
RNAcentral lists this ribosomal RNA (463 nucleotides) under uncultured bacterium. RNAcentral describes it as "partial 16S ribosomal RNA". It matches the Rfam family "Bacterial small subunit ribosomal RNA", at positions 28 to 507 of the family's 1533-position model. The record is from RNAcentral.